RNAcentral lists this ribosomal RNA (241 nucleotides) under uncultured bacterium. RNAcentral's name for it is "partial 16S ribosomal RNA". It matches the Rfam family "Bacterial small subunit ribosomal RNA", at positions 796 to 1041 of the family's 1533-position model. The record is from RNAcentral.
CACGCCGUAAACGAUGAGCACUAAGUGUCGGGCGAGAGCUCGGUGCUGAAGUUAACGCAUUAAGUGCUCCGCCUGGGGAGUACGGUCGCAAGACUGAAACUCAAAGGAAUUGACGGGGACUCGCACAAGCGGUGGAGCAUGUGGUUUAAUUCGACGCAACGCGAAAAACCUUACCAGGUCUUGACAUCCCUCUGACGUCACUAGAGAUAGUGAUUCCCUUCGGGGCAGAGGUGACAGGUGG